AUGAGAGUCUGUCUUUGCUCCUCCGUCCAGUGCUGGUCAGCAUCUGCAUACUGUGUUCUCCCCGUGGAAGUGCCGCCUCUUCGGCAUUUGGGAAAGAGGACGGGGCGGCAGGACUAUCACAGUCAGAAGCCGGUUCCCUCUCGGGGUGGCCCCUCUGCGUGGGGACCUGAGAUGGAGACGAAAUCCUGGAGAUCAGGGGCCCUCGGUGCCCCGCGGCGCCCUUCGCUGGGAGGCAGAGGGACGAUGGACAGCACAGAAGGGGAUGGCGGCUGGAGCCGGACUCUGGGCUGCAGGAUGUGGAGACGGAGGCAGGGGCUCAGGCCAGAGCCCGAGAGGCUGAAACAGAAGAGGCGCUUCUGUGCAGCCCAGUGGAGCGCGGUGCUUCUGACCGCGGCCUCCCAGCCCCUGGACACGACAAGAAGAAAGGUGGCCUCAAGUCCCUGCGUCCGUGGGAAGGGGUGACAGCAGCGCAGGAAGCCCAGACGGGGCGUGGGGGUCAGCCGAGGGCCAAGGCGACUCUUCUCAGCCUCCCCUGAAGCUGCCCGACGUCCUGGGUCCGACCCAUGGGAGCCCCUGCGGGCAGGGCAGCCACCUCUGGAGAGUCUUCCUGGAGGAAGGGCCCGACCCCCGUCCUUCCUACCGGCGGGGCCCACGGGUCCCCUGGGAUGUGCAGCCAUCGGCACCAGGAGGUGAAUCUGGGGGUCAAGUCUAUGCACGGCGGUCAACAAGACGGGAGAAGCCUGGGACCAGACCCGGAGCUCCCCUGCCCCGGGCUGCCUGCCCCGUAUCUCACGUCUGGGAGCGUCCACUGUGUUCUGUUGACACAAGGGCUGGCGGGCCUGUCCCUCAGCCCACUCUGAUCACCACGAGACAAACAGGUCGCCGGCACGGCUCCUCGUCCGCCUUCUCCCCAGGGCCCUGGGCAGCGCCUGGGUUUCUUCCUCACGACAGCUUCAAGGACCAGCUUCACGACCUAAAUGCAAGGUCCCUCCCAGACCACCCGCCUCCCACUUUAGGGGAAAAUAGGAGAAGGAGUGAGCCUGCCCCCCUGUGAACUCGAUUCACCUCUAAAGUUUCCCCAGGCGUUGGGCUGCUUGGAAUCACGGAUCAGUAUUUCUUUGCUCUUUCUUUGGACGGUUGUCUUUAAUUUCAUGUUCGUCUCGCGGUGUGCAUCGCCGGCUCGUGGGAGACGGGAGCCUGCUCUCUAGGGAUACAGCUGUGUCCGCACCGCCAGCGUUGCUCUCAGCGCAGCAUUUUACGGGGGCACGUGCACCCCUCUGAUGGCCUCUUACUCGAGCGUCUUAAAAACCUAACAGUAGUGCGAUUCACGAAGUCCCACAUCCCUGAAGCGCGUUUUUCCUUCUGUUGAUGGAACAAAGGCUUCCAUUGCUUUCAUGACUUAGUUUCCAAAUGUCUCUUUGUGAGGCCAGCGGAGAUGGAGUUACAAGUGUUGGCGUCUGGC
RNAcentral lists this long non-coding RNA (1462 nucleotides) under Sus scrofa (pig). RNAcentral's name for it is "lncRNA (ENSSSCG00070027340.1)". The record is from RNAcentral. Lineage: Eukaryota; Metazoa; Chordata; Mammalia; Artiodactyla; Suidae.